This 391-nucleotide ribosomal RNA is filed under the name uncultured bacterium. RNAcentral's name for it is "bacterial SSU rRNA". It matches the Rfam family "Bacterial small subunit ribosomal RNA", at positions 28 to 417 of the family's 1533-position model. The record is from RNAcentral.
GACGAACGCUGGCGGCGUGCCUAACACAUGCAAGUCGAGCGAAUGAAGUUCCUUCGGGAACGGAUUUAGCGGCGGACGGGUGAGUAACACGUGGGCAACCUGCCUCAUAGAGGGGAAUAGCCUUCCGAAAGGGAGAUUAAUACCGCAUAAGAUUGUAGUACCGCAUGGUACAGCAAUUAAAGGAGCAAUCCGCUAUGAGAUGGGCCCGCGGCGCAUUAGCUAGUUGGUGAGGUAACGGCUCACCAAGGCGACGAUGCGUAGCCGACCUGAGAGGGUGAUCGGCCACAUUGGGACUGAGACACGGCCCAGACUCCUACGGGAGGCAGCAGUGGGGAAUAUUGGUCAAUGGGCGAGAGCCUGACCAGCCAAGUAGCGUGCAGGACGACGGCCC